CACUCCUGCGGGAGGCAGCAGUGGGGAAUAUUGGACAAUGGGCGCAAGCCUGAUCCAGCCAUGCCGCGUGAGUGAUGAAGGCCCUAGGGUUGUAAAGCUCUUUCACCGGUGAAGAUAAUGACGGUAACCGGAGAAGAAGCCCCGGCUAACUUCGUGCCAGCCACCGCGGUAAUACGAAGGGGGCUAGCGUUGUUCGGAUUUACUGGGCGUAAAGCGCACGUAGGCGGACUAUUAAGUCAGGGGUGAAAUCCCGGGGCUCAACCCCGGAACUGCCUUUGAUACUGGUAGUCUUGAGUUCGAGAGAGGUGAGUUGAAUUCCGAGUGUAGAGGUGAAAUUCGUAGAUAUUCGGAGGAACACCAGUGGCGAAGGCGGCUCACUGGCUCGAUACUGACGCUGAGGUGCGAAAGCGUGGGGAGCAAACAGGAUUAGAAACCCCAGUAGUCCCAUGAU
Molecule: ribosomal RNA, 451 nt
Filed under: uncultured organism
Description: partial 16S ribosomal RNA
Rfam family: Bacterial small subunit ribosomal RNA
Source: RNAcentral